RNAcentral lists this ribosomal RNA (941 nucleotides) under Salmonella enterica subsp. enterica serovar Typhimurium. RNAcentral's name for it is "partial 23S ribosomal RNA". It matches the Rfam family "Bacterial large subunit ribosomal RNA", at positions 711 to 1566 of the family's 2925-position model. Lineage: Bacteria; Pseudomonadati; Pseudomonadota; Gammaproteobacteria; Enterobacterales; Enterobacteriaceae. The record is from RNAcentral.
AGACCCGAAACCCGGUGAUCUAGCCAUGGGCAGGUUGAAGGUUGGGUAACACUAACUGGAGGACCGAACCGACUAAUGUUGAAAAAUUAGCGGAUGACCUGUGGCUGGGGGUGAAAGGCCAAUCAAACCGGGAGAUAGCUGGUUCUCCCCGAAAGCUAUUUAGGUAGCGCCUCGUGAAUUCAUCUCCGGGGGUAGAGCACUGUUUCGGCUAGGGGGCCAUCCCGGCUUACCAACCCGAUGCAAACUGCGAAUACCGGAGAAUGUUAUCACGGGAGACACACGGCGGGUGCUAACGUCCGUCGUGAAGAGGGAAACAACCCAGACCGCCAGCUAAGGUCCCAAAGUCAUGGUUAAGUGGGAAACGAUGUGGGAAGGCCCAGACAGCCAGGAUGUUGGCUUAGAAGCAGCCAUCAUUUAAAGAAAGCGUAAUAGCUCACUGGUCGAGUCGGCCUGCGCGGAAGAUGUAACGGGGCUAAACCAUGCACCGAAGCUGCGGCAGCGAACGUAUCACCCAAGACAACUUUACGGAGUUGGCGAUUGACGGAGCGAAGCGACGUCAAAGCGUUCAUUAAAGUCGAGUUGGCUUAGGGAUACGUUCGUUGGGUAGGGGAGCGUUCUGUAAGCCUGUGAAGGUGUGUCGUGAGGCAUGCUGGAGGUAUCAGAAGUGCGAAUGCUGACAUAAGUAACGAUAAAGCGGGUGAAAAGCCCGCUCGCCGGAAGACCAAGGGUUCCUGUCCAACGUUAAUCGGGGCAGGGUGAGUCGACCCCUAAGGCGAGGCCGAAAGGCGUAGUCGAUGGGAAACGGGUUAAUAUUCCCGUACUUGGUGUUACUGCGAAGGGGGGACGGAGAAGGCUAUGUUGGCCGGGCGACGGUUGUCCCGGUUUAAGCGUGUAGGUGUGUGUUCCAGGUAAAUCCGGUUCACUUUAACACUGAGGCGUGA